AGCAAAGAAGGGACCCCGGAGGACCAGACUGGGAAGUGUCCAGGUCCUCCUAGAUCCAUCUCUCUGGGCUGACUGGAGAGGCUGGAUAGGACCUAGGAAGCCAGUAGCAAGCCCUGACUCUGCCGCGACACCACCCUCCCAUCUGCUGUGGGGAAAUCCCAGUCCCGCUCUGGGUUUCUGGCAAAGCGGGCAUCGGCGGGGCCCCAAGCACAAUUUCUCUUGGCCAAAAAGAAACAGCUCGGAAGCCGCGUGCAACAGCGACAUCCCGCGGCCACGAGGGGUGCGCACAGCCUGCAGAGCCCGACAACGCAGCGCACGUCUCUCCUCCCCGCGUGGUCUCUUGCCCGCCCUGGGUCCUCUUCUCAGCCCCGCGCCCCUUCCCGCGGGGCGCCGCCUGGCCCCCAGCCAGCCUGCACGCGCACUCCUAGACCUACUGCCGGGUGUCACAUGCCAAUAAGCCGCAUCCCCGAGGCGCCAGGACUUGUUUCCGCCAAACUGCUGGCAGGCCAGGUGGGCACGCGCGCUGGAAUAUCAUUUCCAUCUAAAAGUGUCUUUUGCCUCGUGGAAGAGUGACGUGCGGGGAGGUGGCAAAUCUCCUACAUGCCGUUCCCUCAUCUGCUACUUCCUCUCCACCCACGACCCUUAUUCCUAGGCCCACCAUCUGGAAGAAACCCAAUUUAUGUUUUUCUUUUCUGGAGCAAAUAGUGUAUAUCUGCUGGAAAGACAUUGGUACUUAAAUACAGAAAAAUAAAAAUGAGAAAAUUUAAAUGACUUGUAUUACAAUAUGAGUAGGCCUCUAACAAGAGACCAAAUGAGUCAUUAAUAAACUUUCCAGGAGCAGAUGUCUUCUGGAAAAUUCUAUGAAGCAUUUAAAGAAUUAAUAUCAAUUGUUCACAAACUCUCCCAAAAUAUACAAGAGAAGAGAACACUUCCCAGCUUACUCUGAGGCCAGUAUUACUCAGUGCAAAUCAAGAAAACCACAGAGCAAAAUAUGUUAUGAAAUUAAUUUUUAAAAUCCUAAUAAAAUCCUAUCCUGAUUAUUUAACAAAAUAUAAAGAGAACUGUACCUAUUGAUCAGGAGUUAUACCAGGAUUGUAUGGUUGGUUUAACAUUCAAGAAUCCAGUUUUGGGGGCUGGAGUGAUAGCAUAGCGGGUAGGGCGUUUGCCUUGCACACAGCCAACCCGGGUUCGAGUCCCAGCGUCCCAUAUGGUCUCCUGAGCACUGCCAGGAGUAAUUCCUGAGUGCAGAGCCAGGAGUAACCCCUGUGCGUUGCUGGGUGUGACCCAAAAAGCAAAAAAAAAAAAAAAUCCAGUUUUGCAGGGGUCAGAAAAAUAGAACAGUGAAUAUGUUGUUUGUUUUGCAUGCAGCUGACCAUAGUUUGAUCUCUGGCAUCAUAUAUGGUCCCCUGGGCACAGCCAAAGUGAUCCCUGAGCACAGAGCCAGGACUUAUCCCUAAACACCCAAACCAGAAAAUAGACUCUGUGUGUGUGUGUGUGUGUGUGUGUGUGUUCAUUUUUGUAGUAUUCUGUAUCAAUAGAAUAAAAGACAAAACCCAAACCCGACCUGGCAAUUCCAGUCCAAGUAAAUACUCAGGAGAAAGGAAAACAUUCCCACUCGGAAGCUUGUUCAUGAAUAUUCAUAGCAACAUUAUUCAUAAAUAUGGAAGUCAAAUCCUAUCUAUAGACAAGUAGAUAAAUAACCUAUGGUAUAUCCAUAAAGUAAAAUAUUAUUAAGCCAAAAAAAGAACAAAGUAUUGAUUUAACAUAGAUAAAUUUGGGGGGAAAGCCAGUCUUAAUGGACUAUGUUUAUAUAAUACAAAAUAUCUAGAAUAGACAAAUUUGAGACCAAUAAUAGAUUUAUACUGCUUAUAACUCAGUAUAGUGGGGAGACUGGAGGAAUAGCUUAGGGGUGCUGAGUUUGAAGGGGGUUUUAGUCAUGAAAACGUUUGAUAAUUGUAUUGAUGAAUGGUUGCAUGGUCCUAUGAAUAUUCCAAGAGUCGCUGGAUUGUACACUUAAAUGAAUUAAUUGAAUGGUAUGGAAAGUGUAUCUCACUAAAGCACUUAGAGAUGCUAUUCAGUUUUUUUUUCUUGGCCCUGAAGAUACAUGUCCUCCUCAGAACCCAGGACGUGCAUCUGUUGGGGUGAUUCAGAUACUCGGGGUGCUCAGCCCUCCGCAUCCAGCUCUAGCCGGUUUCCCUGCUAUACACCCACCUCCAGCUGUGGACAGCUCCAGCUGUCCUUCCUACGAGACUUCACUUCUAACAGCCUCCCAGAAGUGAAGAUGCAGCGACGCUGAUGUCACACAAGAGGCAGGAGCCCAUCAGAGCCCCGGGGGGACGGUUUCUGCACAGGCACCAGGCAGCCGUCCAGGCAGAGAACACGCAGCAGCUCACUCGGACAUCAGCAGAGGUGACAUCUCUCCAUCCAAGGCAGCUGCCUGCAGGAAUCCCCAUAAGACCAGAGAAAGAAUUGGGUGCCCCCCAAAGCACCACAUCAAACGACUUCCCACUUCUGCCUCUUCCUGGCAGCAGAGAUCCCCCUGGAGAGACCCCGAGCCGAGCAGCACCUCAACUGGGCCUCGGCGGCUGCAGCAGCUGCUCUGUCAGUGCCUGGCCACCACAGCGUGUCCUUCGCGCGUCCCACAGCCCAGUCAGGGAGAGCCAUUCUCAAAGGCCGACGCACAGGGAGGCUGCUUAGAGCUGCCCGCGCAGGGGUCACCAGCAGAAAGGAGCUUUGCCCCCAGGGAAAGGAGCCAUGGCCCAGCACUCACUUCCCUGGCUCCUUCCAUUGUCAUCAGAAAUCAAAGUUGACUUGGUUUCCAUUUCUGAGCUGUCCUAUUGCCCAGAAUGUGACUGAGCACCACGUUUUCCUGGACUCUGACAAAAUCCCACAGACUGGGUGGUUUAAGCAACAAACCCACUUUCCCACAGAACUGGAAGGUUCAGGAUAAAAGUGGUAGCGGGCUGGUUCUAGGGUGCCACUCCCCUGGCCUGCAGAAGGUUCCUCGCUUCUCACCAGGACACUGAGCAUCUCAGAACCAGCCCCCCACCCCCCACCAGGCCCUCACUUAACCGUCACUACCUCCUGAGAGCCCCAGGCUCACAUUGGGAAGUUGUAGUUUCAACACAACCGCAUGGUGACAUUUUAUGGGAACUUGAGGAAAAGACCUUUUCUGCUCUUGUGGGACCGUUUCGUGAAAGUCUCUUCAUUUCAGACUCUGGAUGAAACUGUCGAGUGACAGAAUUACUGACUUUCUGCCUCCUAAGUCUGGCCGUUGAUCCAGCCCUUUUCUUGUGAGAAUGGGAGCAACGACAUCCAAGCUCUUUCCGUGUUGGAGCAGAAGCAGGCGUGUCCCUGAGUCGCCUUCUCGAGCCAGCAGCUGACAGACACAGGGACAGGAAGCAGCCUGGAGUUCCUACAAAGUCUCUACAAAGAACAUUUACAGGGGCUGGAGCGAUAGCACAGCACGUAGGGCAUUUGCCUUGCACGCAGCCAACCCGGGUUCGAUUCUCUGGCAUCCCAUAUGGUCCCCUGAGCACCGCCAGGAGUAAUUCCUGAGUGCAGAGCCAGAAGUAACCCCUGUGCAUCACCAGGUGUGACCCAAAAAGCAAAAAAAAAAAAAACAAAAAACAACAUUUACAAACUCAGGGAGGCCCGGUGCAGCAUUCUUCGAUUCUUGCAGACUGCUGUGGGCCCACAGACAAGCCAGGAAGGCUGGAAGCCACUGGUUGGCUCUGAGUGCUGAGCCUGGGCCCGUGUGCAGGGGGCAGGGCACAGGGUGUUGCAGGUGUGAAAAGCUGAGGAGCACUGGCCCAGAGUGAAGGGGCCCUGGGAGCCUUAUUUUCAGGGUGCAGGUUGGAGGUCAAGCAGGGUGUUUAUAGGAUUAUACGGAAUGUGUGCUGUGAACCUCGGACUGAGAUUGUACAAAUCCCUACCAGGCGCUCUGCUGGGUGCUUCGCAAACACCAUCCCUAAAGACUAAACACUGUAAAGGCACGUAAUAUCCCCGUGCCUUGGAAGAUGGGAAAACUAAGGCCCAGAGGAAAGUGGCUCCCCCCUGCCCCCAGGACAGCUGACGCCUCCUCAGGAGAGGCUGGGCAUCGCUUUACGGGGAGCGGCAAAGGCCCCCGGGUAGAGAGCGGCACACAGGGACUCACUGCCGCUUGUGUCAGGCAACCCUGCCCUGCUCGCCCAAGCCAGACCAGGGGUGAGACUCGGCAGAGGCUUGGCCCUUGGUAUCCGUGAGGCCCACGGAGAGAUGGCAAACUAGGUGCCCGCAAAGCGGGUUGUUCAGCCACAGGCCUGGCUCGUGCAGCCUGGAGGGAAAGCGGCCCCUCCCCCUACCGAAGACGCCCCCUGAGCAGCCAAGGGGAUCUUAGCCCCCGGCUGGCGCUUGCUGGCUGUCAAACCAUAGAGACAGUACAGGGUGAAGGGACAGCAGUCAACCCAGGUUCUAUUCCUGGCACUGCCAGGAAUGACCUUGGGCACAGAAGGCCUGAGCACAGCCCGGUGUGAGCAUUGGAGAACCAAAUGCAGUGUUGCAUAACCAUAGCUAUAAUCUAGCGAGUUUGCUCCUGGGGCUUUAUUUACUAUGACAAGACUCUCACCAGGCCCAAGGGGUGUGGUGGUCUCCUUGUCACAGCAUGCUGGGCAGCGAUGUGGGAGGACAUCCGAGGCUGGGCCUGGGUACCAUGUGGUCCCUGCAGCCCUCUGAGCAUGGCGCAGCAGUGAGCAAGGACAGGCCUGGCGCUGGUGGCACAGGAUGGGUCUGUCUGUCUUCAAAACCAAGAAUAAGCUUGAAAGCAAAGAGGAGAAAGAGCUCUGUGUCUGCCUGUGCCCCGUCUACAGCAUGGAGACCACCGCAACAGUGCCAGCAGAGGGAUUUCCUGCGAGUGUUAGCAGAAGGGGCUGGACUUCCUGCUGGAAGGAAAUAGGAAGUUUUUCCAGCUUGUAAAACAGAAACGUGCACUCGCGGCCAGCCCACCUACCUCAUCUGGGGCUGCGGAACAGAAGCCAGUGCCUGGAAAAAGCAGGAGCAGCCAGCGAGGCCCAGUCUGGCCAGCAGAGGGCGAUAGCGUGCCACGCAGACUGCCGGCCUCUGCCAGGAGCCGCCUGGGCUGAUACUGAGGAACACCACAGCGGCUCUGUCACCUUCCUGCCUCCCCGGAGAACCUCAGGCCUCCAGGUAGAGCCUCGGCCGUGGCAAGGCUCCAGGUGCUUCAGCGGUGUCCGCCACUCUGUGACAUGCUGGGGGAGGGACUCUCCGAGCCUCUGUCCCUCCAGGUCAUCAUCUUGAGAGCAUCCCGGAGCCCGCCUGGAGUGAUCCCUGAGCGCAGAGGGCGGAAGUAACCCUGAGCACUGUCCAGGGUGCCCCCGCCCUCCAGAAGAAAGGGGUGACUUUGGUGUUCAAUAUAAAAACCCUUUGGACUACAUGACUCCUAACCCAUAUUUUUUUUCUGUGCCUAAAGGGACUCCUGACUGUCUUAUUUGGAGACGGGAGAUGGCAGAGGCAGUGAGGGAGCAAGCCUGGCAUGCUGGGUUUAGUGCUCAGCACACGUGGUCCCCGAGCAUGGUGGGGUGCAGCCCUGGAGGCCCCCAGCACCGUCUGGGUGGGCCGGGUACCCCAGCACUGCAGGACCCGCGUAGCUGGGCACCCUCGGGCCCUUGCACUGAAAUGAUGGUCCGGUUGGACAGGAAUUGCCAGCGGGGCUCCACUUGGGAGCCCUCCUGAGAUCUUAUUUGGGGGACUGGAUAGCCAAAGGGUUGGGGCACACGCUUCUCGUGUACGAGGCCUCAGCCUCGGUCCCUGCAACCUCACGGUCCCUUGAGCCCACUAGGAGCAAUCCCCAGUACUGAGCUGAGAGCAGUCCCUGAGCACCACUGAGUGUGACCCCCAAUUUAUUUUUUUUGGGUGGGGGGAGCCCGGGGAUAGCUUAGUGGCAGACUGCCUGCCUUGCAGUCAUAAGGUCUUGAA
This is a long non-coding RNA of Sorex araneus (European shrew), 5973 nucleotides long. RefSeq lists it as uncharacterized. The record is from RefSeq and is a predicted model, not a curated record. The transcript is spliced from 4 exons. NCBI's taxonomy places the organism in Eukaryota, Metazoa, Chordata, Mammalia, Eulipotyphla, Soricidae.